UACGUAGGGGGCAAGCGUUGUCCGGAUUUAUUGGGCGUAAAGCGCUCGCAGGUGGUUCGUCGCGUCGUGCGUGAAAGACCCCGGCUCAACUGGGGGAGGUCGUGCGAUACGGGCGAACUGGAGGCCAGUAGGGGGAUGCGGAAUUCCGGGUGUAGUGGUGGAAUGCGUAGAGAUCCGGAGGAACACCAGCGGCGAAGGCGGCAUCCUGGACCGGUAUUGACACUGAGGCGCGAAAGCCAGGGGAGCAAACGGG
Molecule: ribosomal RNA, 253 nt
Filed under: uncultured bacterium
Lineage: Bacteria
Description: partial 16S ribosomal RNA
Rfam family: Bacterial small subunit ribosomal RNA
Source: RNAcentral